RNAcentral lists this ribosomal RNA (446 nucleotides) under uncultured bacterium. RNAcentral's name for it is "partial 16S ribosomal RNA". It matches the Rfam family "Bacterial small subunit ribosomal RNA", at positions 338 to 795 of the family's 1533-position model. The record is from RNAcentral.
CCUACGGGAGGCAGCAGUAGGGAAUUUUCGGCAAUGGGGGGAACCCUGACCGAGCAACGCCGCGUGAACGAAGAAGUUAUUCGUAAUGUAAAGUUCUUUUAACAGGGAAGAAAGAGAAAUUUGACGGUACCUGAAGAAUAAGCUUCGGCUAACUACGUGCCAGCAGCCGCGGUAAGACGUAGGGAUCGAGCGUUAUCCGGAAUUAUUGGGCGUAAAGGGUGCGUAGAUGGCAUAUUAAGUCUUUUGUAAAAAUGCUGGGCUCAACCCAGUAGGGCAAAAGAUACUGCAAAGCUAGAGUAUGACAGAGGCAAGUGGAACGAGAUGUGUAGCGGUAAAAUGCGUAAAUAUAUGUAAGAACACCAGUGGCGAAGGCGGCUUGCUGGAUCGAUACUGACAUUGAGGCACGAAAGCGUGGGGAGCGAACAGGAUUAGAUACCCUGGUAGUC